CCGGAGACCAGCAGAGCCCGGGUCUGGACGGAUGUGACUGCACGGAGCCGGAAGUGACCCAGCCCCCAAGGACACCAGGAAGUUCGGCUUCUCAGUGGUUGGCCUGGGAAGUCGACAGCAGAGCGAGGCCGACUUUGAGCGUCUGAGGAUUGGCGGUGACACGUGUCAUCCAGUUCCCAGCCCUCUGGUUCCUCUGGUAACUACACCCGGGAGAAGAAAAUCAGAAGAGCUCAAAGCUGGAGCCUGGAGCCGUUGCCCAGGCAACCGUGAGGCUUGGGGCAGUGGAAGGAGAAUGGAGGAUGUGAGCACAAAUGGCAACUGUGAUUGGUCGAUUGCGCUGGAACGCCGACACUUGAUUAGCCGAGGGAAGCUUGAGGGCGGGGCCUCCGGUUGCGAUCCUUUUGUGUGGCUCCUUUGAGGGUAGGCCGGUAGAGAUCCUGACCACGCCCCAGGAGCUCAGAGAGGCUGUCAGGUCUAGCCAGGCCCGGCUGGGCCCUGAGCGCUGGCCACUGAAAAGAGGUGGAAAGCCAACAUGGACCGUUCCCUUUGCCCUCAUCCUCAGCCUGACCGCGCAGGUCAGCAGUAAACCAGUCAGGUCAAAUUUUCCUGUGGCAGAGAGGCUAGGAUAUAAGAUAAAACAAGUUCCCUGAGAGCAACCUGUCUUAAAGUGAGAGCCUCUUCAGUCCAUUAUACUCAACAAGAGAAAUCCCAUUUCUGGAUGAAUGACUGAAGCCAACAGGAAAAGCUGAAGGAAGCAAUCUGCUUCCUUUCUGGUCUGAGAAACAACCAUCUUCUUCAACCAGUCCUGCCAGCAAUCCUAGCCCAGACCCCACUGACAGCUUCCAGACACCACCAAGGCCUGCUUGGGCCCAUCAGUCAGCAGUUUGCAAGUGUCCAGCUGAUUUCAUACCCCAGGCCACUCCCAUGUCCUACUAAGUUCUGUGUCCCUGAAAGUCAUGACUGCCUGUUCUAGUCCUCUUAGACAGCCCUGCCUCAUAAUAUAAUACACUUAUUAGACUGUAAACGAGGAUGCAAGGCAUAAAGGUUUUUUUACAGGAUAAACAAACAGACCAGGAUCUGACACCAAUUUCUAGCUAUCCAGUUUUAUGAAUUUGGAGAAGCGACUGGACUUCUUUCUUGGCCUCAGUUUCCUCAUCUAUAAAACUGAGAAAAUAAAACUCAUUCAUGGC
Molecule: long non-coding RNA, 1190 nt
Organism: Heterocephalus glaber (naked mole-rat)
Lineage: Eukaryota; Metazoa; Chordata; Mammalia; Rodentia; Bathyergidae
Source: Ensembl